UAGUCCGCACCGUAAACGAUGAUCACUAGACGUUGGCGAUAUAAUGUCAGUGUUUAAGAGAAAUCAUUAAGUGAUCCACCUGGGGAGUACGUUCGCAAGAAUGAAACUCAAAGGAAUUGACGGGGGCCCGCACAAGCGGAGGAACAUGUGGUUUAAUUCGAUGAUACGCGAGGAACCUUACCAAGGCUUAAAUGUAGAUUGACAGAUUGUGAAAACAAUUUUUCUUCGGACAAUUUACAAGGUGCUGCAUGGUUGUCGUCAGCUCGUGCCGUGAGGUGUCGGGUUAAGUCCCAUAACGAGCGCAACCCCUAUUUUUAGUUACCAGCGAGUAAUGUCGGGAACUCUAGAAAGACUGCCUGUGUAAACAGUGAGGAAGGUGGGGAUGACGUCAAAUCAUCACGGCCCUUAUGUCUUGGGCUACACACGUGUUACAAUGGUUACUACAGUGGGCUGCCAUCUGGCAACAGAGAGCAAAUCCAUAAAGGUAAUCCCAGUUCGGAUCGGAGUCUGCAA
RNAcentral lists this ribosomal RNA (513 nucleotides) under uncultured bacterium. Its description in RNAcentral is "bacterial SSU rRNA". It matches the Rfam family "Bacterial small subunit ribosomal RNA", at positions 791 to 1310 of the family's 1533-position model. The record is from RNAcentral.